GACGAACGCUGGCGGCGUGCUUAACACAUGCAAGUCGAACGGAAAGGCCCUGCUUGUGUGGGGUGCUCGGGUGGGGAACGGGUGAGUAACACGUGAGUAACCUGCCCUUGACUUUGGGAUAACUUCAGGAAACUGGGGCUAAUACCGGAUAGGAGCUCCUGCUGGAGGGUGGGGGUUGGAAAGUUUCGGCCGGUGGGGAUGGACGCGCGGCUUAUCAGCUUGUUGGUGGGGUGGUGGCUUACCAAGGCUUUGGCGGGUAGCCGGCCUGAGAGGGUGACCGGCCACAUUGGGACUGAGAUACGGCCCAGACUCCUACGGGAGGCAGCAGUGGGGAAUAUUGCACAAUGGGCGGAAGCCUGAUGCAGCAACGCCGCGUGCGGGAUGACGGCCUUCGGGUUGUAAACCGCUUUCGCCUGUGACGAAGCGUGAGUGACGGUAAUGGGUAAAGAAGCACCGGCUAACUACGUG
This 468-nucleotide ribosomal RNA is filed under the name uncultured bacterium. Its description in RNAcentral is "partial 16S ribosomal RNA". It matches the Rfam family "Bacterial small subunit ribosomal RNA", at positions 28 to 507 of the family's 1533-position model. The record is from RNAcentral.